Molecule: long non-coding RNA, 350 nt
Organism: Saccostrea cuccullata (small rock oyster)
Lineage: Eukaryota; Metazoa; Mollusca; Bivalvia; Ostreida; Ostreidae
Exons: 3
Source: RefSeq, a predicted model, not a curated record
CUGAAUCUUUUGUGUAAACAAUAUGCAAUAUGGCGGCAAACUUGGCUGAUGAGCUCUGUGUUGGGUCUGUAACAACGGGGCUACAGUGGAUCAGAGCUUGAGCUGACUGGGAAGCAGACUAUUCAUACAUUAGGAAAAGAAAACACUGUUGUACAAGACACAAUCAAAGAAGAUGGAGGCUCAUCUGUAAAUCAAGAACUCACAGUUCAUAGGAUACCUUUCAGCAGUUAUUCACAAACAUCUGAUGUUGUAAAUCCAAGCACAAAUACAGAUGAUUUUGAUCAGAUUAUAAAUACGCAAGUGUCCAUUAAUUCACAAGGCAGCCUCUGGUUACCAAGCAGUCAAGAUAC